CUGUGGUAAGAGGGCCUCUGUGUGAUACUCCCCUGCAUAAUUUCAAAAAAGAUAAAAAAAGCCUAGGUCUUGGAAAAUAUGAGGAAAGAUGCUCUCUCGGCCUUACCACACCACUACGCUGCUUUCUUCUCUGCCGUCUGUGAUUGGCUUCCACUGGGGAGUUCCUCUUUCGUCUCUGGGGCUCAGGCCCACUUCCGGUUUCUGACCGCUAGCCAGUCAUGCCGUCUCUGACGCAGCUCUCACUAACUCCUCCAGGGCCUGCACAGAUGUGGUGUCUGUCCCCAGCAAGUGCUUCUCCAGAGAGCAUGUAGGAAGCUGUGUGGCCUGGCGGGGCCAGGGCUCAUGAUCAGUCCAAAGACUGAGGCUUCAUCUCAGUGCUCCCCAAGUCAUCUGGGACCACCUGCCUCCUCGCUCCUGUGUCUUCCCUUUCUUUGGGGGUUACUAGCUUGAACAAAUUAGCCAGACGAUAGCUGUAGUGGAAGAAAAACUUGAUGUUCCUCAAAUUGACAGCUUUCCAAUUUCCCGUGUCUCCUUGAGAGGCUGCCUCACUUGACAAGAGCAUUUCCAAGUCCUCUCAGUGUUGUGGGUAGUCUCCUGGGAGCUUGUGGUGCCAUGGCAUCUAAACACAGACCCAUUUCUGCCCUUACAGAGCCAAAGCUGGUGAAUGGCAGAACCAACAUUCUACAUGCCUGGAGCUCACAGAGUAGCCCGGAUGGAUCGCAGUGCAUUAGAAUGGCAAGGAAACAUACUCAAUGGCUCCUUGGUGAAUAGUUACCUAGUUUCUGAAAUCCCUACUCAGUCUGGGAAAAGGUUUCUCAUCAGAGGACAGAUGACCCAAGAUGGACUUACUGAAGUACUGGGAUGCACAUUCCUUGGCAGAUACGCUGGGAAUCUGGAGAUCUUGGUGGCUCUGUGUUUGGUUGUACAGAGAUGCUGAUACUAUCUUUGUGGGAAUGGAAUCGUCCAUGUGAGAACACAGUGUGGACAGGAUGCUGCCUCUGGAGAGCUUGGGGACACUCUGCCCAGGGUUCCUUCUUCUGAGUGGGAUCAGGAGUAGAAAGCCGUCCCUCCUCCUGGGAACGAGAUGGAAUAAAACCUGACUCUCUGA
Marmota monax (woodchuck) is the source of this 1108-nucleotide long non-coding RNA. RefSeq lists it as uncharacterized. The record is from RefSeq and is a predicted model, not a curated record. The transcript is spliced from 3 exons. NCBI's taxonomy places the organism in Eukaryota, Metazoa, Chordata, Mammalia, Rodentia, Sciuridae.